GACGAACGCUGGCGGCGUGCCUAAUACAUGCAAGUAGAACGCUGAAGGAGGAGCUUGCUUCUUUGGAUGAGUUGCGAACGGGUGAGUAACGCGUAGGUAACCUGCCUGGUAGCGGGGGAUAACUAUUGGAAACGAUAGCUAAUACCGCAUAAUAGUAGAUGUCGCAUGACAUUUGCUUAAAAGGUGCAAUUGCAUCACUACCAGAUGGACCUGCGUUGUAUUAGCUAGUUGGUGAGGUAACGGCUCACCAAGGCAACGAUACAUAGCCGACCUGAGAGGGGGAUCGGCCACACUGGGACUGAGACACGGCCCAGACUCCUACGGGAGGCAGCAGUAGGGAAUCUUCGGCAAUGGACGGAAGUCUGACCGAGCAACGCCGCGUGAGUGAAGAAGGUUUUCGGAUCGUAAAGCUCUGUUGUAAGAGAAGAACGAGUGUGAGAGUGGAAAGUUCACACUGUGACGGUAUCUUACCAGAAAGGGACGGCUAACUACGUG
This 495-nucleotide ribosomal RNA is filed under the name uncultured bacterium. RNAcentral's name for it is "partial 16S ribosomal RNA". It matches the Rfam family "Bacterial small subunit ribosomal RNA", at positions 28 to 507 of the family's 1533-position model. The record is from RNAcentral.